UCGCCUGUUUAUCAAAAACAUCGCCUCUUGCUCCCACAUAUGAGGUCCAGCCUGCCCAGUGACAUUGUUCAACGGCCGCGGUAUCCUAACCGUGCGAAGGUAGCGUAAUCACUUGUUCUUUAAAUAAGGACUAGUAUGAAAGGCACCACGAGAGUCAUACUGUCUCCUUUCUCUAAUCAGUGAAACUGAUCUCCCCGUGAAGAAGCGGGGAUAAAAAUAUAAGACGAGAAGACCCUAUGGAGCUUAAAACAAAUAACACUUGCCCCCCCCAACUUCUAAUUUCAGAAAAAUUUUCUACCCGAGCAUCAUGGUUAUUAGUUUUCGGUUGGGGUGACCACGGAGUAAAAAGCAACCUCCGCAAUGAAAGACACUCAUCCACUUAGUUAAGGGCUACAACCCCACACAUCAACAAAUUGACACUAAUUGACCCAACAUGUUGAUCAAUGAACCAAGUUACCCUAGGGAUAACAGCGCAAUCCACUUCAAGAGCCCCUAUCGACAGGUGGGUUUACGACCUCGAUGUUGGAUCAGGGUGUCCUAGUGGUGCAGCCGCUACUAAAGGUUCGUUUGUUCAACGAUUAAAACCCUACGUGAUCUGAGUUCAGACCGGA
RNAcentral lists this ribosomal RNA (611 nucleotides) under Adenomera marmorata. RNAcentral's name for it is "partial 16S ribosomal RNA". It matches the Rfam family "Bacterial large subunit ribosomal RNA", at positions 1796 to 2620 of the family's 2925-position model. Lineage: Eukaryota; Metazoa; Chordata; Amphibia; Anura; Leptodactylidae. The record is from RNAcentral.